GCUCUCUUCAUCCAAUCGGUAAGGAUGUACGACUUAUAAUCGUAUCAUAGAGGUUCAAAUCCCCUAGAGAGUACCA
This 76-nucleotide transfer RNA is filed under the name Bacteriophage sp. Its description in RNAcentral is "tRNA-Ile". It matches the Rfam family "tRNA". Rfam says of the family: Transfer RNA (tRNA) molecules are approximately 80 nucleotides in length. Their secondary structure includes four short double-helical elements and three loops (D, anti-codon, and T loops). Further hydrogen bonds mediate the characteristic L-shaped molecular structure. tRNAs have two regions of fundamental functional importance: the anti-codon, which is responsible for specific mRNA codon recognition, and the 3' end, to which the tRNAs corresponding amino acid is attached (by aminoacyl-tRNA synthetases). tRNAs cope with the degeneracy of the genetic code in two manners: having more than one tRNA (with a specific anti-codon) for a particular amino acid; and 'wobble' base-pairing, i.e. permitting non-standard base-pairing at the 3rd anti-codon position. The record is from RNAcentral.